RNAcentral lists this ribosomal RNA (1033 nucleotides) under Golovinomyces sp. RNAcentral's name for it is "SSU rRNA". It matches the Rfam family "Eukaryotic small subunit ribosomal RNA", at positions 72 to 1112 of the family's 1831-position model. Lineage: Eukaryota; Fungi; Ascomycota; Leotiomycetes; Helotiales; Erysiphaceae. The record is from RNAcentral.
GCAUUUAUCCGUGAACUGCGAAUGGCUCAUUAAAUCAGUUAUCGUUUAUUUGAUAGUACCUUACUACUUGGAUAACCGUGGUAAUUCUAGAGCUAAUACAUGCUAAAAGCCCCGACUUCGGAAGGGGUGUAUUUAUUAGAUUAAAAACCAAUGCCCUUCGGGGCUCUUUGGUGAUUCAUAAUAACUUAACGAAUCGCAUGGCCUUGUGCCGGCGAUGGUUCAUUCAAAUUUCUGCCCUAUCAACUUUCGAUGGUAGUAUAUGGGACUACCAUGGUUUCAACGGGUAACGGGGAAUUAGGGUUCUAUUCCGGAGAGGGAGCCUGAGAAACGGCUACCACAUCCAAGGAAGGCAGCAGGCGCGCAAAUUACCCAAUCCCGACACGGGGAGGUAGUGACAAUAAAUACUGAUGCAGGGCUCUUUUGGGUCUUGUAAUUGGAAUGAGUACAAUUUAAAUCCCUUAACGAGGAACAAUUGGAGGGCAAGUCUGGUGCCAGCAGCCGCGGUAAUACCAGCUCCAAUAGCGUAUAUUAAAGUUGUUGCAGUUAAAAAGCUCGUAGUUGAACCUUGGGCCUGGCUGGCCGGUCCGCCUCACCGCGUGCACUGGUCCGGCCGGGUCUUUCCUCCUGGGGAGCCGCAUGCCCUUCACUGGGUGUGUCGGGGAACCAGGACUUUUACUUUGAAAAAAUUAGAGUGUUCAAAGCAGGCCUAUGCUCGAAUACAUUAGCAUGGAAUAAUAGAAUAGGACGUGUGGUUCUAUUUUGUUGGUUUCUCGGACCGCCGUAAUGAUUAAUAGGGGAUGGUCGGGGGCAUCAGUAUUCAAUUGUCAGAGGUGAAAUUUUUGGAUUUAUUGAAGACUAACUACUGCGAAAGCAUUUGCCAGGAUGUUUUCAUUAAUCAGGGAACGAAAGUUAGGGGAUCGAAGACGAUCAGAUACCGUCGUAGUCUUAACCAUAAACUAUGCCGACUAGGGAUCGGGCGAUGUUAUUUUUUUUGACUCGCUCGGCACCUUACGAGAAAUCAAAGUCUUUGGGU